CCUACGGGAGGCAGCAGUGGGGAAUAUUGCACAAUGGGGGAAACCCUGAUGCAGCGACGCCGCGUGAGUGAAGAAGUAUUUCGUUACGUAAAGCUCUAUCAGCAGGGAAGAAAAUGACGGUACCUGAGUAAGAAGCCCCGGCUAACUACGUGCCAGCAGCCGCGGUAAUACGUAGGGGGCAAGCGUUAUCCGGAUUUACUGGGUGUAAAGGGAGCGUAGACGGCGGGCCAAGUCUGGAGUGAAAUCCCGGGGCUUAACUGCGGAACUGCUUUGGAAACUGGCCAGCUAGAGUGCAGGAGGGGUAAGCGGAAUGCCUAGUGUAGCGGUGAAAUGCGUAGAUAUUAGGAGGAACACCGGUGGCGAAGGCGGCUUACUGGACCGUAACUGACGUUGAGGCUCGAAAGCGUGGGGAGCAAACAGGAUUAGAUACCCGUGUAGUC
Molecule: ribosomal RNA, 440 nt
Filed under: uncultured bacterium
Lineage: Bacteria
Description: partial 16S ribosomal RNA
Rfam family: Bacterial small subunit ribosomal RNA
Source: RNAcentral